UACAGAGAUAGCUCAGUUGGUUAGAGCAUGAGAUACUUAAUCACAGGGUCGAGGGUUCAAGCCCUACACUGGGCAAAA
This is a non-coding RNA of Podarcis lilfordi (Lilford's wall lizard), 78 nucleotides long. The record is from the annotation of a GenBank genome assembly. Lineage: Eukaryota; Metazoa; Chordata; Lepidosauria; Squamata; Lacertidae.